UGGUCAGUGACAAAAGACGGGGUUGUGCUCCCGCACGAACCCCGGCUGGGUCGCUGCGGUGUCCAACGCCUUCCCACCGUACCUGCCUCUCCCCCCGCCCUGGAGGAGGGGAGCCAAGGAGCUUCCGAAAACGGCCUCCGAAGGGGUGAAGGGCCGCGCGACCGGAGGAGAGGAGCCCCAGGGCGGCGUGGGUUCUGAUUCCGACCCUGCCAGGCAUAAAGGGCGUUAUGGGCCGCGCCUGCGUUUAGAUGACCCUAUUGCCAUGGCUGCUGGUGUGACCUGGAAGACAUCACCUUAUCCUCCUGAUACCUUCCGUCCUAGUGCUCUUGGGCUGCUAGGACACAACAUCGUCAACUGGACUAGGUGGCUUACGACCACAGAAACUUCCUUCUCACAGUUCUGGAGGCUGGAAAAUCCACGAUCGAGGUGCUGCAGAUUUCAUGUCUAGUGAAGUCUUCCUGGCUUCACAAAUAGCCGCCUCCUUGCUGUGUCCUCACAUGGCACAAGGAGCAAGCAACUUUCUGGGGUCUUUUUAUAAGGGUGCUAAUUCCAUUCAUGCAGGCUCCACCUUCAUGACCUAAUUACCUCCCAGAAUCCCCACCUCCAAAUACCAUCACAUCAGGGAUUAGGCUUCAGCAUGAAUUUUGGGGACAUACAAACAUUCAGUCCAUAGCACUUCAUAACCCGUAAUCGGCUAUUUGGAAUGAGGUUGCUAGGGAUUUAGCUUCCAAUCUCCUUUCUUCCACUCAAGGAACACAUUGGCUUUCCAGUACAAGCCAGGUACUUGGACAAGGUUAGCCAGAUAUGGGGGUGCCAGAGUGGGUGGGUAUCUCCCUCAGAAAAGCUUAUCUACUGAGAGGCAAGAAUAAAGUUCCUUGGUGUACUUGUUAACUCAAGAAACUCUUCCUGGCUUCGGAUAGCAAAUGAAAAAAGCCAACUUCACCAAGUUGGUGGAUUUAGGCUGGGCUGUUUCAAGCUGUAAGUGGUGGAGGCUAACAGACAGCGUGGCCCCACCUGUCUCAUCUCCUACCAGCAGGCCGACAAAGGGAUAUUAUUCUCAUGGUGAUGACUGAGAUGCCAAAGACCAAGCCCAUUUGUGCAAGUGCUUCUUAAGCCUUUAGCCAUGCUGUAUGUUUCCUAUAGCUGCAGUAACUAAUUACCACAAAUUUGGUGGCUUAAAAUAAAAAUGUAUUACCCCACAGUUGUAGAGAUCAGAAGUCCAAAUAAGUGAGGGGAUGUUCAGCCUGGAGAGGACCUUCACAAGGUCAAGCUGUGGGAAGGGCUCUGCUCCAUCCAGAGGUUGUAGAGAAUUUAGUUUUCUUGCCUAGUGGUCCCUUCCAUUUUCAAGGCUGGUAGUGUAGCAUCUUCCAGUCUCUAAUUUUGCUUGUUUUCACAUCAACUUUUCCUUAUCUUUUUACCUUCCAACCUCCCUGUUGUAAUUAAACUGAGCCCACUUGGAUAAUCCAGGAUAAUCUUCCCAUUCCCAGACCUUAAUUUAGUCACAUUUACAAAGUUCCUUUUACCACGUAAGUAACAUACUGACAGGUUAGAGGGUUAGAAGAUAGGCAUCUUUGGGGAAGGGGAGGGUAAUAUCUAGUCUACUUAAACAUGCUGUGCCUGCCAGAAUUCCACUGGCCCGUAUCAAGGGACAGGGGGUACUCUGCUCAUGAAGGGGGGAUAUAAAGAAAUAUAUGUAGAUCUAUAAGCAAAUCCUUUUUUUUUUUUUGGCAAGGCCUUUAGUACAUGUUUAUUGAAUGUUUCGGACCAUUAUGACUCCUCAGGGUAUCACACUGAUCACCUUCUUACAAUCAGCCACAGCUAUCCAUGCUGGAGUUCCUAUUGGGUCUGCAGGGGAAUGUCAUCUACAGCAAAGGUGGACAAACGCUGUAACUUAAGAUCUUAUUUGCUCAUUCCAAUUAUAAUGCUGUGUACUAUUGUGUAGUCAUUUUACAGUCACACUGAAAUUUACGCUCUGAAUUUCCUUCUCCCUCUAUUCCUGUUACCCAGAGCAAGAGGACACAUUAUUUGCUUUAAACCUGCUGAAGGAACGGGAGAGAUUCUGUAGGGGUAUUAGUUUCCUCACUCCUUUGCCAGAACUGACCCAGAAUUCAGCUGAACAUCUAUUAGGGCAGGUUGUCCACAUACUACUUGCUUUGCUCUAAGCAGUCUUUUAUUUAAAAUGAUUUUUUAAAAAGAUUGUAUUUAGGGGCGCCUGGGUGGUUCAGUCGUUAAGCGUCUGCCUUCG
This is a long non-coding RNA of Zalophus californianus (California sea lion), 2245 nucleotides long. RefSeq lists it as uncharacterized. The record is from RefSeq and is a predicted model, not a curated record. The transcript has 3 exons. NCBI's taxonomy places the organism in Eukaryota, Metazoa, Chordata, Mammalia, Carnivora, Otariidae.